AAGAGCCGGAUGACGGGAGACUGUCACGUCCGGUUCCGUGGGGGUCCUGCGGAAGAACUCUCGAAAAUGACGAGUAACGAUGCCUCAAU
RNAcentral lists this non-coding RNA (89 nucleotides) under Xenorhabdus nematophila F1. Lineage: Bacteria; Pseudomonadati; Pseudomonadota; Gammaproteobacteria; Enterobacterales; Morganellaceae. The record is from RNAcentral.